CCUACGGGAGGCUGCAGUGAGGAAUCUUGGUCAAUGGGCGCGAGCCUGAACCAGCCAAGUCGCGUGAGGGAUGAAGGUUCUAUGGACCGUAAACCUCUUUUAUAAGGGAAUAAAGUGUGGUAAGUGUCCUAUCUUGUAUGUACCUUAUGAAUAAGGAUCGGCUAACCACGUGCCAGCAGACGCGGUAAUACGGAGGGUCCGAGCGUUAUCCGGUUUGAUUGGGUUUAACGGGUGCGUAGGCGGCCUUUUAAGUCAGCGGUGAAAGUAUGUGGCUCAACCAUAGAAUUGCCUGUGAAACUGGGGGGCUUGAGUAUGUAUGAGGCGGGCGGAAUGCGAGGUGUAGCGGUGAAAUGCUUAGAUA
RNAcentral lists this ribosomal RNA (361 nucleotides) under uncultured bacterium. Its description in RNAcentral is "partial 16S ribosomal RNA". It matches the Rfam family "Bacterial small subunit ribosomal RNA", at positions 338 to 696 of the family's 1533-position model. The record is from RNAcentral.